RNAcentral lists this ribosomal RNA (460 nucleotides) under uncultured bacterium. RNAcentral's name for it is "partial 16S ribosomal RNA". It matches the Rfam family "Bacterial small subunit ribosomal RNA", at positions 338 to 795 of the family's 1533-position model. The record is from RNAcentral.
CCUACGGGGAGCAGCAGUGAGGAAUAUUGGUCAAUGGACGGAAGUCUGAACCAGCCAUGCCGCGUGCAGGAAGACGGCUCUAUGAGUUGUAAACUGCUUUUGUACAAGGGUAAACCUGAAUACGUGUAUUCAGCUGAAAGUACUGUACGAAUAAGGAUCGGCUAACUCCGUGCCAGCAGCCGCGGUAAUACGGAGGAUCCAAGCGUUAUCCGGAUUUAUUGGGUUUAAAGGGUGCGUAGGCGGAUUGAUAAGUUAGAGGUGAAAUGUCCGAGCUUAACUCGGGAACUGCCUCUAAUACUUUUGAUCUAGAGAGUAGAUGCGGAAGGCGAAUUGUAUGGUGUAGCGGUGAAAGGCUUAGAGAUAAUACAGAACACGGAUUGCGAAGGCAGCUUACCAAGCUAUAUCUGACGUUGAGGCACGAAAGCGUGGGGAGCAAACAGGAUUAGAUACCCUUGUAGUC